RNAcentral lists this ribosomal RNA (254 nucleotides) under uncultured bacterium. RNAcentral describes it as "partial 16S ribosomal RNA". It matches the Rfam family "Bacterial small subunit ribosomal RNA", at positions 524 to 776 of the family's 1533-position model. The record is from RNAcentral.
UACGUAGGGUGCGAGCGUUGUCCGGAAUUAUUGGGCGUAAAGAGCUCGUAGGCGGCUUGUCGCGUCGGAUGUGAAAGCCCGGGGCUUAACUCCGGGUCUGCAUUCGAUACGGGCAGGCUAGAGUUCGGUAGGGGAGAUCGGAAUUCCUGGUGUAGCGGUGAAAUGACGCAGAUAUCAGGAGGAACACCGGUGGCGAAGGCGGAUCUCUGGGCCGAUACUGACGCUGAGGAGCGAAAGCGUGGGGAGCGAACAGG